Molecule: ribosomal RNA, 429 nt
Filed under: Chloroflexota bacterium
Lineage: Bacteria; Bacillati; Chloroflexota
Description: Chloroflexi bacterium partial 16S ribosomal RNA
Rfam family: Bacterial small subunit ribosomal RNA
Source: RNAcentral
UGGGGAAUAUUGCACAAUGGGCGCAAGCCUGAUGCAGCCAUGCCGCGUGUAUGAAGAAGGCCUUCGGGUUGUAAAGUACUUUCAGUCGGGAGGAAGGUGGUAAGGUUAAUAACCUUGGCAAUUGACGUUACCGACAGAAGAAGCACCGGCUAACUCCGUGCCAGCAGCCGCGGUAAUACGGAGGGUGCAAGCGUUAAUCGGAAUUACUGGGCGUAAAGCGCACGCAGGCGGUUGAUUGAGUCAGAUGUGAAAUCCCCGGGCUUAACCCGGGAAUUGCAUCUGAUACUGGUCAGCUAGAGUCUUGUAGAGGGGGGUAGAAUUCCAUGUGUAGCGGUGAAAUGCGUAGAGAUGUGGAGGAAUACCGGUGGCGAAGGCGGCCCCCUGGACGAAGACUGACGCUCAGGUGCGAAAGCGUGGGGAGCAAACAGG